Molecule: ribosomal RNA, 449 nt
Filed under: uncultured bacterium
Lineage: Bacteria
Description: partial 16S ribosomal RNA
Rfam family: Bacterial small subunit ribosomal RNA
Source: RNAcentral
AACGAACGCUGGCGGCAUGCCUAACACAUGCAAGUCGAACGAGAUCUUCGGAUCUAGUGGCGCACGGGUGCGUAACGCGUGGGAAUCUACCCUUAGGUCCGGAAUAACUUCGGGAAACUGAAGCUAAUACCGGAUGAUGACGUAAGUCCAAAGAUUUAUCGCCUAAGGAUGAGCCCGCGUAGGAUUAGCUUGUUGGUGAGGUAAAGGCUCACCAAGGCGACGAUCCUUAGCUGGUCUGAGAGGAUGAUCAGCCACACUGGGACUGAGACACGGCCCAGACUCCUACGGGAGGCAGCAGUGGGGAAUAUUGGACAAUGGGCGAAAGCCUGAUCCAGCAAUGCCGCGUGAGUGAUGAAGGCCUUAGGGUUGUAAAGCUCUUUUACCCGGGAUGAUAAUGACAGUACCGGGAGAAUAAGCUCCGGCUAACUCCGUGCCAGCCGCCGCAGUAA